RNAcentral lists this ribosomal RNA (525 nucleotides) under uncultured bacterium. Its description in RNAcentral is "bacterial SSU rRNA". It matches the Rfam family "Bacterial small subunit ribosomal RNA", at positions 977 to 1502 of the family's 1533-position model. The record is from RNAcentral.
GAUUUUGACAUCCCGGUGACCGGGACUUAACCGUCCCUUCUCUUCGGAGCACUGGAGACAGGUGGUGCAUGGUUGUCGUCAGCUCGUGUCGUGAGAUGUUGGGUUAAGUCCCGCAACGAGCGCAACCCCUAUCUUUAGUAGCCAGCAUUUCGGAUGGGCACUCUAGAGAGACUGCCAGGGACAACCUGGAGGAAGGUGGGGAUGACGUCAAAUCAUCAUGCCCCUUAUGACCAGGGCUACACACGUGCUACAAUGGCGUAAACAAAGGGAAGCAAGCAUGUGAAUGUGAGCAAAUCCCAAAAAUAACGUCUCAGUUCGGAUUGUAGUCUGCAACUCGACUACAUGAAGCUGGAAUCGCUAGUAAUCGCGAAUCAGAAUGUCGCGGUGAAUACGUUCCCGGGUCUUGUACACACCGCCCGUCACACCAUGGGAGUCAGUAACGCCCGAAGCCGGUGACCCAACCAAUCGGAGGGAGCCGUCGAAGGUGGGACCGAUAACUGGGGUGAAGUCGUAACAAGGUAACCG